AAAUUGAAGAGUUUGAUCAUGGCUCAGAUUGAACGCUGGCGGCAGGCCUAACACAUGCAAGUCGAGCGGUAGCACAGAGAGCUUGCUCUCGGGUGACGAGCGGCGGACGGGUGAGUAAUGUCUGGGAAACUGCCUGAUGGAGGGGGAUAACUACUGGAAACGGUAGCUAAUACCGCAUAACGUCGCAAGACCAAAGUGGGGGACCUUCGGGCCUCAUGCCAUCAGAUGUGCCCAGAUGGGAUUAGCUAGUAGGUGGGGUAAUGGCUCACCUAGGCGACGAUCCCUAGCUGGUCUGAGAGGAUGACCAGCCACACUGGAACUGAGACACGGUCCAGACUCCUACGGGAGGCAGCAGUGGGGAAUAUUGCACAAUGGGCGCAAGCCUGAUGCAGCCAUGCCGCGUGUGUGAAGAAGGCCUUCGGGUUGUAAAGCACUUUCAGCGGGGAGGAAGGCGUUAAGGUUAAUAACCUUGGCGAUUGACGUUACCCGCAGAAGAAGCACCGGCUAACUCCGUGCCAGCAGCCGCGGUAAUACGGAGGGUGCAAGCGUUAAUCGGAAUUACUGGGCGUAAAGCGCACGCAGGCGGUCUGUCAAGUCGGAUGUGAAAUCCCCGGGCUCAACCUGGGAACUGCAUUCGAAACUGGCAGGCUAGAGUCUUGUAGAGGGGGGUAGAAUUCCAGGUGUAGCGGUGAAAUGCGUAGAGAUCUGGAGGAAUACCGGUGGCGAAGGCGGCCCCCUGGACAAAGACUGACGCUCAGGUGCGAAAGCGUGGGGAGCAAACAGGAUUAGAUACCUGGUAGUCCACGCCGUAAACGAUGUCGAUUUGGAGGUUGUGCCCUUGAGGCGUGGCUUCCGGAGCUAACGCGUUAAAUCGACCGCCUGGGGAGUACGGCCGCAAGGUUAAAACUCAAAUGAAUUGACGGGGGCCCGCACAAGCGGUGGAGCAUGUGGUUUAAUUCGAUGCAACGCGAAGAACCUUACCUGGUCUUGACAUCCACAGAACUUUCCAGAGAUGGAUUGGUGCCUUCGGGAACUGUGAGACAGGUGCUGCAUGGCUGUCGUCAGCUCGUGUUGUGAAAUGUUGGGUUAAGUCCCGCAACGAGCGCAACCCUUAUCCUUUGUUGCCAGCGGUUAGGCCGGGAACUCAAAGGAGACUGCCAGUGAUAAACUGGAGGAAGGUGGGGAUGACGUCAAGUCAUCAUGGCCCUUACGACCAGGGCUACACACGUGCUACAAUGGCAUAUACAAAGAGAAGCGACCUCGCGAGAGCAAGCGGACCUCAUAAAGUAUGUCGUAGUCCGGAUUGGAGUCUGCAACUCGACUCCAUGAAGUCGGAAUCGCUAGUAAUCGUAGAUCAGAAUGCUACGGUGAAUACGUUCCCGGGCCUUGUACACACCGCCCGUCACACCAUGGGAGUGGGUUGCAAAAGAAGUAGGUAGCUUAACCUUCGGGAGGGCGCUUACCACUUUGUGAUUCAUGACUGGGGUGAAGUCGUAACAAGGUAACCGUAGGGGAACCUGCGGUUGGAUCACCUCCUUACCUUAAAGAA
This 1549-nucleotide ribosomal RNA is filed under the name Klebsiella pneumoniae. RNAcentral's name for it is "bacterial SSU rRNA". It matches the Rfam family "Bacterial small subunit ribosomal RNA". Lineage: Bacteria; Pseudomonadati; Pseudomonadota; Gammaproteobacteria; Enterobacterales; Enterobacteriaceae. The record is from RNAcentral.